This 464-nucleotide ribosomal RNA is filed under the name uncultured bacterium. RNAcentral describes it as "bacterial SSU rRNA". It matches the Rfam family "Bacterial small subunit ribosomal RNA", at positions 28 to 490 of the family's 1533-position model. The record is from RNAcentral.
GAUGAACGCUGGCGGCGUGCUUAACACAUGCAAGUCGAACGAAGCAUUUGCAACAGAUUUCUUCGGAUUGAAGUUGCUUAUGACUGAGUGGCGGACGGGUGAGUAACGCGUGGGUAACCUGCCUCAUACAGGGGGAUAGCAGCUGGAAACGGCUGGUAAUACCGCAUAAGCGCACAGUACCACAUGGUACAGUGUGAAAAACUCCGGUGGUAUGAGAUGGACCCGCGUCUGAUUAGCUUGUUGGCGGGGUAACGGCCCACCAAGGCGACGAUCAGUAGCCGACCUGAGAGGGUGACCGGCCACAUUGGGACUGAGACACGGCCCAGACUCCUACGGGAGGCAGCAGUGGGGAAUAUUGCACAAUGGAGGAAACUCUGAUGCAGCGACGCCGCGUGAGUGAAGAAGUAGUUCGCUAUGUAAAGCUCUAUCAGCAGGGAAGAUAGUGACGGUACCUGACUAAGAAG